This 75-nucleotide transfer RNA is filed under the name Neisseria elongata. Its description in RNAcentral is "tRNA-Glu(ttc)". It matches the Rfam family "tRNA". Rfam says of the family: Transfer RNA (tRNA) molecules are approximately 80 nucleotides in length. Their secondary structure includes four short double-helical elements and three loops (D, anti-codon, and T loops). The record is from RNAcentral. Lineage: Bacteria; Pseudomonadati; Pseudomonadota; Betaproteobacteria; Neisseriales; Neisseriaceae. RNAcentral also lists the same sequence under 28 other names.
GCGCCCAUCGUCUAGCGGUUAGGACAUCGCCCUUUCACGGCGGUAACGGGGGUUCGAUUCCCCCUGGGCGUGCCA